UGGGGAAUAUUGCACAAUGGGCGCAAGCCUGAUGCAGCCAUGCCGCGUGUGUGAAGAAGGCCUUCGGGUUGUAAAGCACUUUCAGCGAGGAGGAAGGUGGUGAGCUUAAUACGCUCAUCAAUUGACGUUACUCGCAGAAGAAGCACCGGCUAACUCCGUGCCAGCAGCCGCGGUAAUACGGAGGGUGCAAGCGUUAAUCGGAAUUACUGGGCGUAAAGCGCACGCAGGCGGUUUGUUAAGUCAGAUGUGAAAUCCCCGGGCUCAACCUGGGAACUGCAUUUGAAACUGGCAAGCUAGAGUCUCGUAGAGGGGGGUAGAAUUCCAGGUGUAGCGGUGAAAUGCGUAGAGAUCUGGAGGAAUACCGGUGGCGAAGGCGGCCCCCUGGACGAAGACUGACGCUCAGGUGCGAAAGCGUGGGGAGCAAACAGAUUAGAUACCCUGGUAGUCCACGCUGUAAACGAUGUCGAUUUU
RNAcentral lists this ribosomal RNA (471 nucleotides) under uncultured bacterium. RNAcentral describes it as "partial 16S ribosomal RNA". It matches the Rfam family "Bacterial small subunit ribosomal RNA", at positions 355 to 819 of the family's 1533-position model. The record is from RNAcentral.